GCAUAUCAAUAAGCGGAGGAAAAGAAACCAACAGGGAUUGCCCUAGUAACGGCGAGUGAAGCGGCAACAGCUCAAAUUUGAAAUCUGGCGUCUUUGGCGUCCGAGUUGUAAUUUGCAGAGGGCGCUUUGGCAUUGGCAGCGGUCCAAGUUCCUUGGAACAGGACGUCACAGAGGGUGAGAAUCCCGUACGUGGUCGCUAGCCUUUACCGUGUAAAGCCCCUUCGACGAGUCGAGUUGUUUGGGAAUGCAGCUCUAAAUGGGAGGUAAAUUUCUUCUAAAGCUAAAUACUGGCCAGAGACCGAUAGCGCACAAGUAGAGUGAUCGAAAGAUGAAAAGCACUUUGGAAAGAGAGUUAAAAAGCACGUGAAAUUGUUGAAAGGGAAGCGCUUGCAGCCAGACUUGCCUGUAGUUGCUCAUCUAGGUUUCUACCUAGUGCACUCUUCUAUAGGCAGGCCAGCAUCAGUUUGGGCGGUUGGAUAAAGGUCUCUGUCAUGUACCUCUCUUCGGGGAGAACUUAUAGGGGAGACGACAUGCAACCAGCCUGGACUGAGGUCCGCGCAUCUGCUAGGAU
RNAcentral lists this ribosomal RNA (571 nucleotides) under Didymella macrostoma. RNAcentral's name for it is "eukaryotic LSU rRNA". It matches the Rfam family "Eukaryotic large subunit ribosomal RNA", at positions 38 to 624 of the family's 3401-position model. The record is from RNAcentral. Lineage: Eukaryota; Fungi; Ascomycota; Dothideomycetes; Pleosporales; Didymellaceae.